RNAcentral lists this ribosomal RNA (253 nucleotides) under uncultured bacterium. RNAcentral describes it as "partial 16S ribosomal RNA". It matches the Rfam family "Bacterial small subunit ribosomal RNA", at positions 524 to 776 of the family's 1533-position model. The record is from RNAcentral.
UACGGAAGGGGCUAGCGCUGUUCGGAAUUACUGGGCGUAAAGAGCGCGUAGGCGGCUUACCAAGUUGGGGGUGAAAUCCCGGAGCUCAACUCCGGAACUGCCUUCAAAACUGGUAGGCUCGAGUCCGGAAGAGGGGCGUGGAAUUCCAAGUGUAGAGGUGAAAUUCGUAGAUAUUGGGAAGAACACCGGUGGCGAAGGCGGCGCCCUGGUCCGGUACUGACGCUGAGGCGAGAAAGCGUGGGGAGCAAACAGG